CGGCACGGGAGAAGACACACGUGCUAUUUAUAGGACGUCGUUGGAAUAAACUUCUCAACCUGCCGGUCUGAAAAGCUAAGCAAACAUGAGCGACAAGGGGACAGUCUCACCAAAAGAGAAGGAGGCAACAGAGAAGAGGGGGCGUGGAAGACCCCGCAAGCAGCCCCAGGUAAAAACCUCUGAAGAACCAAGUGGGUCCCCUACUCCAAAGAGGCCCAGAGGACGGCCGAAGGGCAGCAAAAACAAGACAACCGGCAAGGGCAAA
This is a long non-coding RNA of Seriola dumerili (greater amberjack), 265 nucleotides long. RefSeq lists it as uncharacterized. The record is from RefSeq and is a predicted model, not a curated record. NCBI's taxonomy places the organism in Eukaryota, Metazoa, Chordata, Actinopteri, Carangiformes, Carangidae. The transcript is spliced from 3 exons.